UACGGAGGGGGCUAGCGUUGUUCGGAAUUACUGGGCGUAAAGCGCACGUAGGCGGCUUGUAGAUUAGAGGUGAAAGCCCACGGCUUAACCCUGGAAUUGACCUUUAACGAUCUGCGAUCGCUAGGAAUCGUGGAGAGGUAAGUGGAAUUCCGAGUGUAAGAGGUGAAAUUCGUAGAUAUUCGGAAGAACACAGUGGCGAAGGACGACUUACUGGACACGUAGUUG
RNAcentral lists this ribosomal RNA (225 nucleotides) under uncultured bacterium. Its description in RNAcentral is "partial 16S ribosomal RNA". It matches the Rfam family "Bacterial small subunit ribosomal RNA", at positions 524 to 742 of the family's 1533-position model. The record is from RNAcentral.